This 713-nucleotide long non-coding RNA is filed under the name Cottoperca gobio. RNAcentral describes it as "lncRNA (ENSCGOG00000015341.1)". Lineage: Eukaryota; Metazoa; Chordata; Actinopteri; Perciformes; Bovichtidae. The record is from RNAcentral.
AGCUCCUUCGUUCUCCUCUCAUUGGUCGAUUUCUGAACUUCCGCCAUAUUCAAAAACACGAACCUCUGCUAGUGAUGUAGAUUAGUAGAAUAUAUGUAAUGUUAUUGUUCUGAGUUAUUCAGUAGCACGUAGUUAAACAAUAACCGGGUAGUUUAUAACAUUUAAAAUGAGUGAACCCGCCGAAGCUCCCUGUUUCUACUUCAGAGAAACUAAAAAGACAAGCGAGCUCCAGGAUCCUGAGCAGGAAGUUUUCCCUGGAUGAAGGAGAGUCUCCCCUGGAGAACAACAACAACAGUCUGAGACGGAAUGUUGUUUUUCUUCUUCAACCAGUGGUCUCCAUUUAUUAAGAGGUCGAAGCUUUCAGGGUUCAGUCCGGACAAUCCCACUGGGGAGUCCCAAAAAAGGCAAAGCUGUCUCCUGCCAGAUAAUCCCGACAACAAGAGUCAUUUGGGCGACGUCCAAAUCUUUGUGCUGGAGGAAGGUGAGCAAUGAAGGACUCACAGGCCUAAGAACAACUUGGGGGUAGAUGAAGCUUCAUGUUCCCCGUCCCACCCUGACAGGGACGACUCUCUCUGGAGGACAGCGCUGCGGCGACACCAUGCUGAGGCUGUGGUCACUGCGAAGAGGAAGCUCCUUCACCUUCCUCACCCCAGGACCACAAUGGGACUUCAGUCUGAAGAGGAGACACAGAGGGAAGGAUGGCGGCGGCGACG